UCUGGGAGACAGCAGUGCAGGGGUUCUGCUGUCCUCCAGGUCUCGUUUGGUUUAACCCCGUUGUUAUGAUGAGUUUUAACUUAUAGUUUUAACUCUGAGUGAUCCACAUGGAUCUUUUGUGCAUGUCACCUAGUGUUGACUGUGUUUUAAGGUUAACUCUGAUUUAGUUUUUAGACUUUUAUCAACGUCAUUGUGUUUUAAAACACCUUCAGUUUAGGUAAAACUUUUAAUAAAGUUUUAACCAGGUGUUUUAUAUAGUUGAUAAUUUGUCUUUUAACUGUUAACCUUAUAGUGAAGUUUUCGUUUUGCAUUAUUUUAAUAAUGCUCGCCGUCUGUUUGCUCUUGUUUUUAGAACCUUUUAUCACAAUUAAACCUAUUUUAAACGCCACUGUCGUUUUUCUUAUGUUACCCCCUCCUUCACAUUUUAACAUCUCCUGUUGGGGACAUAACAUUGGGAUGAGACCCUCGCCGACCCUGGUGUGGAGGGUCAAGCCUUGAAGUGGACGGUUUGUGGAUGCUACAGGUGAGUGACCCAGAGACCAAAGGAAGCUUUUCUACAGGAUCUUGUUGCAGAUUUGAAAAAACAAACACACACAAAACUAUUUGUGCAGUUCAAACUAAUAAAAAUCAGUGAUGUAAGAUAAAUAAAAUCAUCUUUGGAUCUCUUCUUCCUGCAGCACCAGACCGCGGGCCAGGGGGGCUAAUCGGGAAGACCGAGCUAAUAUUUGGGCCUCAGUUCAUAAUCAGUGCCUUGCAAAAGUAUUCAUGACCCUUGAACUUCAACCACAAACUCAAAUGUGUUUUAUUGAGAUUUUCUGUUAGACCUACGUAGGAUUUGACUGUGAAGUGGAAUGAAACUGGUAGCAAAUGCACCGUUUUGUAAGCGGUCACAAUUAAUAAACUGUCAACGAAAUAUGAAAAGUAUUCAACAAGACGUAACGCUCCAUAAAACUAUGAAUCCCUAAUAUUAUUGACCCUUUAAUAUGGGACUGACUCUGGAAUAGGGUCCAGGGAAGCCGGGGCACCAGCAAUUACCACUAAGUUACACAGAAGCAAAAAUAUAGUUUAUAAAAAUCCAUUUAUUACUUUAUUUCUACGACAAAUUUACAAGACAGCUGUAGAUGAAUGAGUAUUCAAGGGAAAAUCAGCUGAGACAAUAAUCAAACUUUAAUGAAACUUAGAUGUUAUUAAGAGUCUAAUUAGGCGACUUAGGAAAGAAUGUGAUAUCUGGGAUUAUUAGAAUUAUCCGGCUGCAUUUACUGAUGCUUGGUUAGUUUUCAAAUACAUUUUAACCCAUCCGAUGCCCGUGUGCAGAGCUACGGUGCCCGCGUGAUGAGGGUUCUCAGACAUCCAGCUUGCAGCAAAGUCGUCUCGACAAUAGGGCUGCAACAAACGAUUAUUUGGAUAAUCGAUGAAUCGGAUGGGGUCUCGACACGAUUAAUCGAUUAAUCGGAUUACAUGGGGAAAUUUUUAAAAACUGCUAGGGAAACAUUAUUUCUCUCCUUCCUUCACUUUAUUUAACACAACAUUAUUAGAAAACAGUUCAAUAGCAGAAAAACAACAUGCCAUCACCUAAAUUGUCUUAUAAGGUGUAUAGACAGAGACCCUAAGCUACAUCUAUCUGUGACCUAAAAUGCUUGGUCCAAGUUAAACAGCUUAAGGGCAAUUCUCAUCUGUUUUGUUUGAUCUCAUCUGUUGACAUUUAUUUUAAAUGUAAUUAAACAUAGGCUGUGAAUUAAUCAAAAUUGAUCACUAUUUCCAAAAAUGACUGAAAAAAUACCAAAUAAAACAAAAGUAAAUGAAUGCCAUCCUCCUUGCGAUGAUGCCCUGGGCAACUGCCAUAAAGUCACAUCAAGAAAUGCUGCUGAUCAUUCCAAUGAUCCCAAAUAGACUCACAUUAGGCCACAUGAAAGCAACUGAACCCAAAAAUAUAUUAACCAGUAUAUAACUGCACUCUCACACAACACGCCUGCAGCAACAGUUAGGACUCCUCCCUCCCUUUUAAAAGCGUUUUUGCUUCUGAGGACAUUGUGGUUGUAAAACCACAUGCUAGUAGUCUGGCCCCGGUGUGAUCAACCAGUUUCUGCGGGAAUGUGACGGCGGAACCAGGGCCAGAUUAACACUUUGUUGUACCCUGGGCAACAAUAUUCAAGGGCUCCAUCAUCACGACCCAAGGAUCACCAUAAUGUGGUCACAUACAGAAUAUUUUACUGUAAUAUGCAGUAAAUAUACUCAAUACUUGAAUGCCUGACAACACGUAACC
Molecule: long non-coding RNA, 2263 nt
Filed under: Nothobranchius furzeri (turquoise killifish)
Lineage: Eukaryota; Metazoa; Chordata; Actinopteri; Cyprinodontiformes; Nothobranchiidae
Description: lncRNA (ENSNFUG00015016992.1)
Source: RNAcentral